UCGAGAAUCUUCCGCAAUGGACGCAAGUCUGACGGAGCGACGCCGCGUGAUUGAUGAAGUCUUUCGGGAUGUAAAGAUCUUUUAUGUAGGAGAAAGUUUUGAUAGUACUACAUGAAUAAGGGGUUGCUAACUCCGUGCCAGCAGCCGCGGUAAUACGGAGGGUGCUAGCGUUGUUCGGAAUCACUGGGCGUAAAGGGCGUGUAGGCGGUUUGUUAAGUCUGAUGUGAAAUCCCCUCGCUCAACGAGGGAACUGCGUCGGAUACUGGCAGACUUGAGUACCGGAGAGGAAGGUGGAAUUCCCGGUGUAGCGGUGCAAUGCGUAGAUAUCGGGAGGAACACCGGUGGCGAAGGCGGCCUUCUGGACGGAUACUGACGCUGAGACGCGAAAGCGUGGGGAGCAAACAGGAUUAGAUACCCCAGUAGUCCCUGAGCGGGCUGGCAAGGCGCAU
This 449-nucleotide ribosomal RNA is filed under the name uncultured bacterium. Its description in RNAcentral is "bacterial SSU rRNA". It matches the Rfam family "Bacterial small subunit ribosomal RNA", at positions 355 to 825 of the family's 1533-position model. The record is from RNAcentral.